AUUGGGCGUAAAGCGAGCGCAGGCGGUUUGAUAAGUCUGAAGUUAAAGGCUGUGGCUCAACCAUAGUUCGCUUUGGAAACUGUCAAACUUGAGUGCAGAAGGGGAGAGUGGAAUUCCAUGUGUAGCGGUGAAAUGCGUAGAUAUAUGGAGGAACACCGGUGGCGGAAGCGGCUCUCUGGUCUGUAACUGACGCUGAGGCUCGAAAGCGUGGGGAGCGAACAGGAUUAGAUACCCUGGUAGUCCACGCCGUAAACGAUGAGUGCUAGGUGUUGGGUCCUUUCCGGGAUUCAGUGCCGCAGCUAACGCAUUAAGCACUCCGCCUGGGGAGUACGACCGCAAGGUUGAAACUCAAAGGAAUUGACGGGGGCCCGCACAAGCGGUGGAGCAUGUGGUUUAAUUCGAAGCAACGCGAAGAACCUUACCAGGUCUUGACAUCCCUCUGACCGCUCUAGAGAUAGAGCUUUCCUUCGGGACAGAGGUGACAGGUGGUGCAUGGUUGUCGUCAGCUCGUGUCGUGAG
Molecule: ribosomal RNA, 519 nt
Filed under: uncultured bacterium
Lineage: Bacteria
Description: bacterial SSU rRNA
Rfam family: Bacterial small subunit ribosomal RNA
Source: RNAcentral